AACGAAACCAGCGAAUUUUAUUUCUUUCUCCACCAGCCGCGUUUUCUGUCGUUUUCGUUGCGAAUCAAAGAUGGCUUCAACCAGAGACAAAGAAAGACUGGCUUCAACUGAAAUGUUGAGAGAGUUUGUAAAGAAAUAUCCGAUUUUAUACGAUUUAAGUCAUGAAGAUUACAAAAAUAUAAGAAAGAAAGAUAAGUUAUGAGAUGAAAUUGGGCAGGAGAUCCAUAUUACAGUGCUCGAAACAGGCCUUUUAAAGUGGAAACUGACUGGACUCAAAAUACGCUUCAGCCCGGUUACAGGUACAAAUCAAUAUUUAUCAUGGGCCAAAAUAACAUGUGCCUAAAAAUCACAGAUACUUGGAACAGGUACGAGCCUGGAACAGUCACAUAUGGAACCUGUGCCUGAAAAAUACUGGUUUGUGUCAUCCCUAGUCACAAUGCUAAAGGCAUUCUUGACCACUCUUCUACGUUCUCGACCACUCUUCUACGUCUGACUGUUCUGUGGAUUGUUUUAUGAUGCAAAUAAAUACAAGGUAGGAUCUUAGUUAAUCUAUGGGUAGGAUAUUGCGUCGAUUAGCCUCCCUGGUGACUAAAAUUAUAAAUACAUGUGAAGUAUUAAUUU
This is a long non-coding RNA of Dendroctonus ponderosae (mountain pine beetle), 621 nucleotides long. RefSeq lists it as uncharacterized. The record is from RefSeq and is a predicted model, not a curated record. Lineage: Eukaryota; Metazoa; Arthropoda; Insecta; Coleoptera; Curculionidae. The transcript is spliced from 2 exons.